GACGAACGCUGGCGGCGUGCUUAACACAUGCAAGUCGAACGGUGAAGCGCUUGCCUUUUUGGUGGGUGUGGAUGAGUGGCGAACGGGUGAGUAACACGUGAGUAACCUGCCCUCUUCUUCUGGAUAACCUCAUGAAAGUGGGGCUAAUACGGGGUAUUCCGGGUCUGUCGCAUGGCGGGUUUGGGAAAGAUUGCGCCUUUGGGUGUUUUCGGUGGGGGAUGGGCUCGCGGCCUAUCAGCUUGUUGGUGGGGUGAUGGCCUACCAAGGCGGUGACGGGUAGCCGGCCUGAGAGGGUGGACGGCCACACUGGGACUGAGACACGGCCCAGACUCCUGCGGGAGGCAGCAGUGGGGAAUAUUGCACAAUGGGCGCAAGCCUGAUGCAGCGACGCCGCGUGGGGGAUGGAGGCCUUCGGGUUGUGAACCUCUUUCGCCAGUGAAGCAGGCCUGCUCCUGUGUGGGUGGGUUGACGGUAGCUGGAUAAGAAGCGCCGGCUAACUACGUG
This 504-nucleotide ribosomal RNA is filed under the name uncultured bacterium. Its description in RNAcentral is "partial 16S ribosomal RNA". It matches the Rfam family "Bacterial small subunit ribosomal RNA", at positions 28 to 507 of the family's 1533-position model. The record is from RNAcentral.